CCGAAAGACAAGUAAGACUGUAUUAAAGAGAGGUUGUCAAGGCAUUCAUUGUAUUGACACAGAAUUACUCAUCAAAGGACAAAGAACAACUCAGGACUGAAAUCCAAGAACAUGUCAAGAAAAUAACGGCACCGUACAAAUAUCCAAGAAAGGUUAAGUUUGUUGAAAGUUUACCCAAGACUGUUAGUGGUAAAAUCCGGCGUAUUCAGCUGCGUAUUGAUGAAUGGAUCAAAUGAAGCCUGUUACUAACGCUCAGAAACCACGACUCUGCCCUGAGGUAGCAAGAACCUCUGUUGACAUUUGCCCUGAGAUUAGUAUCCAAGAAUCGGUAAGCAUUAUACAGUAGCAGUUGCGUACUACAUACCAUAAUUACUGGUAGACUGUUUUCUAUCGUAAAGCCUGUAAGGAGAUAUUUCUGCUCAUACUUUUAUAAUAAUAAUAAUAAUAAUAAUAAUAAUAAUAAUAACAAUAA
Molecule: long non-coding RNA, 472 nt
Organism: Asterias rubens (European starfish)
Lineage: Eukaryota; Metazoa; Echinodermata; Asteroidea; Forcipulatida; Asteriidae
Exons: 3
Source: RefSeq, a predicted model, not a curated record